This 393-nucleotide ribosomal RNA is filed under the name uncultured bacterium. Its description in RNAcentral is "partial 16S ribosomal RNA". It matches the Rfam family "Bacterial small subunit ribosomal RNA", at positions 523 to 918 of the family's 1533-position model. The record is from RNAcentral.
AUACGGAGGAUCCGAGCGUUAUCCGGAUUUAUUGGGUUUAAAGGGUGCGCAGGCGGGAGAUUAAGUCGGCGGUGAAAUUUUGCAGCUCAACUGUAAAAAUGCCUUCGAAACUGGGUUCCUUGAGUGUAGAUGAAGUAGGCGGAAUUUGUGGUGUAGCGGUGAAAUGCAUAGAUAUCACGAGGAACUCCGAUUGCGCAGGCAGCUUACUAAACUACUACUGACGCUCAGGCACGAAGGCGUGGGGAUCAAACAGGAUUAGAUACCCUGGUAGUCCACGCAGUAAACGAUGAUUACUAGCUGUUUGCGAUACAAUGUAAGCGGCUGAGCGAAAGCGUUAAGUAAUCCGCCUGGGGAGUACGUUCGCAAGAAUGAAACUCAAAUGAAUUGACGGGG